CCCUAGCUGGUCUGAGAGGAUGACCAGCCACACUGGAACUGAGACACGGUCCAGACUCCUACGGGAGGCAGCAGUGGGGAAUAUUGCACAAUGGGCGCAAGCCUGAUGCAGCCAUGCCGCGUGUAUGAAGAAGGCCUUCGGGUUGUAAAGUACUUUCAGCGGGGAGGAAGGUGUUGUGGUUAAUAAGCGCAGCAAUUGACGUUACCCGCAGAAGAAGCACCGGCUAACUCCGUGCCAGCAGCCGCGGUAAUACGGAGGGUGCAAGCGUUAAUCGGAAUUACUGGGCGUAAAGCGCACGCAGGCGGUCUGUCAAGUCGGAUGUGAAAUCCCCGGGCUCAACCUGGGAACUGCAUUCGAAACUGG
RNAcentral lists this ribosomal RNA (363 nucleotides) under Salmonella enterica subsp. enterica serovar Newport. RNAcentral's name for it is "bacterial SSU rRNA". It matches the Rfam family "Bacterial small subunit ribosomal RNA", at positions 281 to 636 of the family's 1533-position model. Lineage: Bacteria; Pseudomonadati; Pseudomonadota; Gammaproteobacteria; Enterobacterales; Enterobacteriaceae. The record is from RNAcentral.